GCACAUGUAUAAACCCCACAGGCGUAAACAACUCGAACAAGUUGCUAAGGGAUUACGGGUUCGGCAUUGGCGCAAGCCUUCGUCGGGCCCCUCCAUCCCGGGGUGUCCCGCAUCGGGCUGUGUACGCUUCCUUGCGGAGCGAGCGCUUUCCAAGUGGGCAUCCCACGAGUGCUUGGGAUGCUGCCCAACCCAUGGUGAACUAUGCCUGAUCAGGCUUAACUCCGGGGAAACCCUGAAGAAAGGUCCAAACUGUUCCCACGAGGCAAUCACUUGUCAAAACCGAUUGGCUUGCCCAAAAAAUAAACUUCUUGGUCCGUGUUUGAAGACGGGUC
Molecule: ribosomal RNA, 332 nt
Filed under: Anopheles pseudojamesi
Lineage: Eukaryota; Metazoa; Arthropoda; Insecta; Diptera; Culicidae
Description: eukaryotic LSU rRNA
Source: RNAcentral